UUAAUACCUUUCUGAACUUAACCCUUUAGCAUUCAGAAUACUUUGUCGAAUAUAAUGCUUAUUCAAUCAUAUUCUUUUGAAUCAAUC
Molecule: long non-coding RNA, 87 nt
Organism: Octopus sinensis (East Asian common octopus)
Lineage: Eukaryota; Metazoa; Mollusca; Cephalopoda; Octopoda; Octopodidae
Exons: 3
Source: RefSeq, a predicted model, not a curated record